ACUCGACUUUGACUUUAACACCAAUGACUCGUGACUCGACCUGACUUGAUACCCUCCCCAAGCCCAAAUAUGAAAAAUGAUGCUAUUAAAAAAGUGUGCAGUGCAUCAACUCUUCCUUUAACGGAUUAAAGUUUGAAUCGGACAGCAGCCAAUCAAAUUGUGUCAGCGGAGAAAAAGUUGCGUGUGGCAGUGCAGAGGAACGUCAGCGGGUGAAUUCAGAUUGAGCCAUUGGAAACAUGAUACCCAAAUUAUUAUUUUCGGAUAUACAGACUACGCUGUAGUCAACAAAAAACGGAUUGUAACUUGCAAAACAUGCAGGAAGAAAAUUACAGAUGGAGGCGCAACAACUUCCAACUUUGUUCGACAUUUGAAGCUGCACAAAGAACGAUUUGAACAAUACCAGAUGAACAAAAGUGUCACAAGUGAAACACAACAGUCUCCAAUCUCACAGUUCAUGGAGACCCGUGUAGGGCAGUACAGUAUGAAUCAUCCACAGCAGAAAGCUAUCAACAAUACAAUACUGUCCGACCUGGUUAUCGAUUGCAACUUGCCUCUGUCUAUUGUGGAAAACAAGAGUUUUCAUCACUUUCUGUCAGUGGUUGACAGUAUGUACAGCCCAGUGUGUCGUAGAACAUUGACAUCAAAAGUAGAGAACCUCGCUACAGAGAGACGUUCAAAACUGAAAACUCAGUUGAGCAACACAGACCAUGUUUCAGUCACAGUGAACAUUUGGUCUGACCCGAAAGAUGAGGGGUUUCCUUGGUGUCACUGUGCACUGUAUGGAGAAAGAUGGAGAGAGGAUUCAGCUCAAGUCCUAUCUCUUGGCCUGUGACCGCUUCAAAGGCCCACACAUGGCCAAAAUAAUCUGUGAGUAAUUUGAAGCCAUAUGUGGUGAGUACAGCAUUAAAGAUAAAUUGUCAUUAGUGACAAUGCUGCCAAAAUGAGAAAAGCAUUCACGGUGUGCUUCCCCAUUGAACAAGAAGAUGAAGUACAUGACGAAGAUCACCUUGAUGACCCAGAGCUCUGGAAUGACCUAACCCUGGAAGACCAGCAAACAGUGGAUGCUGCUAUUGCAAAAAAGCAGCGCUUGCAGUGUUUUGCCCACACUCUCCAGCUGGUGGUGGGAGAUGGCUUGAAAGAAACAAAAAUCAGCUCACUGCUACAUACAAGCACAACAUUCAAAGAGUUGUUUGAGGCUGAAUUUGGGGAAAGAGGCACCCCAGCUGCUGUCAACACAAGAUGAAACUCAACACUGAGACAAGUGAAGGCAGUUAUCCAAUGUGAUCAUUGAAAGCUCAGUUAUGUUCUAGAAAAGGCUGGGUACACGGAGUUGUUAUUCACAGUACGGGAGUGGAAUAAGUUGAAGGAGUUGGUGGACAUCCUGAGGCCAUUUGGAGAAGCAACAGAUAUAACACAGGGAGGAAAGAUAGUCACAAUCAGUUCUGUUGUUCCCUCGGUCCUGUCCUUGAAUCACCACCUGGAGCAGCGGAAGCCUCAAGUCCAUUUCUUGAGCGGCCUGGUCAGAAGUCUCCAGGCAUCCCUGAACAAAAGAUUUCUUGGAAUCUUCAUCAAUGUGAAGAUGGCCAGGACACAAGAUGGAAUCACUGCCCCCUUUUAAGAUCCAGUCUACCUCAAAGCAGCUGCCUUGGAUCUGGAUUUUUCUCUGAUGUGGGUGGAGCACCUUGUGCUGGUCAAGGAGGAGUUGGCACAAAGAGUGAAAGAACUGAUUCUGCAAGAUGCUACAGGGACUGAGCAAGCUGUGCCUCUUGUUGAUGAGGAAGAGCGAGAGGACCAUAGUCUUGGACAAGAAGAAGGGCUGUGUGUCUUUCUCAUGGCUACCCAUGUACUUCCAUGGAAAUAUAAAGUUUAUUUGGAAAGUAAUGAAUAUAUAUAAUUUUAAAAGCAUUUAUGAUUUGCGUAAAUUUAAUAUACUAUUAUACUAUUGUUAAAUAUGAAAUGGUAUUACAUUUGGUGAAGAGCAAAUUAUGACUUGUUUAGGACUCUAAACUCAAAGUUUAGGACUUGAUACUUGACAGUCUUGACUUGAGACUUGACUCGGACUUGCCUGUUUUGACUUGGGACUUGAGUGCUAAGACUUGAGACUUACUUGUGACUUGUAAAACAAUGACUUGGUCCCAUCUCUGGCCACUUGCAUGAUCCCAUGUGUGUCUUCUUGAAAUAUUGAGUUUAACUCAGUAAUCUGUCUGUCUAGAAUAUUGUUCCAAUGUUGCCUCAGGUACCUGUCACUCUUUGAUGCUGGAUGUUUUCCCUAAUGAAGUUGUGACUACACUGUCUGCCAAUUUUACAGGCAGUGAAAACUGCCGUGAUGGCCUCGCAUCCCAAUUAUUAAUAUAAUGCUUAAUCAUCAUCUCUUCAGUUAGCUUGAGAACUUUACCAAAGUCUCCCUGAGUUAUCUCUGAACAUAGAAAAGCUGCUUUUGAGGAUUUCAAUUAAACCAAUACAGUCCGUCACAGAUAAUGUAGAGCUUUGUAAUCCCUUCGUAGCAAAAUCCCUAGUGUCAAACAAUUGACUAAACGUGACUAACAGGAAUAAAAACGUAUUGUUCUGGAUUUGUUGUAAGAGGGCAUCGGCUUCCAAUUUGGUUUGUCCACAAGCCUCUUAAAAAUCUGCAAGAACUUCUAAAAUGACAUCUAGCAGUAACAGCCCUUUACUCACUGACCCUGAUUUUGAACUCCAACGUACAUCCAUGGAUCUUUCUAGCUCGAUACAUGGUCUACCGGGAUGCAACUCUUUCUGUACUUCUAUGAAUAGAGCAUGUCUGUGGGAGCCACUCAAAUGUGUGUAGCUGGUUUACUGUGUCAAAAAAAGUAUUGACAUGUCCCGACACUUUUUCCACGGUGCACAGAACCAAAUUCAAACGGUGGGAGUUGCAAUGCACAUAUACUGCUUGCUUAAAUGUUUGCUUUAGUAGGA
Molecule: long non-coding RNA, 2934 nt
Organism: Salvelinus fontinalis (brook trout)
Lineage: Eukaryota; Metazoa; Chordata; Actinopteri; Salmoniformes; Salmonidae
Exons: 3
Source: RefSeq, a predicted model, not a curated record